RNAcentral lists this transfer RNA (86 nucleotides) under Felis catus (domestic cat). It matches the Rfam family "tRNA". From Rfam's summary of the family: Transfer RNA (tRNA) molecules are approximately 80 nucleotides in length. Lineage: Eukaryota; Metazoa; Chordata; Mammalia; Carnivora; Felidae. The record is from Rfam by way of RNAcentral. RNAcentral also lists the same sequence under 4 other names.
GCCUGGGUGGCUCAGUCGGUUAAAGCACCCGACUUCGGUUCAGGUCAUGAUCUCACAGUUCGUGGGUUUGAGCCCCGCGUCAGGCU